AUUGAACGCUGGCGGCAUGCCUUACACAUGCAAGUCGAACGGUAACAGGUCUUCGGAUGCUGACGAGUGGCGCACGGGUGAGUAAUACAUCGGAACGUGCCCAGACGUGGGGGAUAACGAGGCGAAAGCUUUGCUAAUACCGCAUACGAUCUAAGGAUGAAAGCAGGGGACCGCAGGGCCUUGCGCGUUUGGAGCGGCCGAUGGCAGAUUAGGUAGUUGGUGGGAUAAAAGCUUACCAAGCCGACGAUCUGUAGCUGGUCUGAGAGGACGACCAGCCACACUGGGACUGAGACACGGCCCAGACUCCUACGGGAGGCAGCAGUGGGGAAUUUUGGACAAAGGGCGAAAGCCUGAUCCAGCAAUGCCGCGUGCAGGAUGAAGGCCUUCGGGUUGUAAACUGCUUUUGUACGGAACGAAAAGGCUCUGGCUAAUACCUGGGGCACAUGACGGUACCGUAAGAAUAAGCACCGGCUAACUACGUG
RNAcentral lists this ribosomal RNA (482 nucleotides) under uncultured bacterium. Its description in RNAcentral is "partial 16S ribosomal RNA". It matches the Rfam family "Bacterial small subunit ribosomal RNA", at positions 30 to 507 of the family's 1533-position model. The record is from RNAcentral.